CACUGGGAUUAAACACGGCCCAGACUCCUACGGGAGGCAGCAGUAGGGAAUCUUCCGCAAGGACGAAAGUCUGACGGAGCAACGCCGCGUGAGUGAUGAAGGUUUUCGGAUCGUAAAGCUCUGUUGUUAGGGAAGAACAAGUGCGAGAGUAACUGCUCGCACCUUGACGGUACCUAACCAGAAAGCCACGGCUAACUACGUGCCAGCAGCCGCGGUAAUACGUAGGUGGCAAGCGUUGUCCGGAAUUAUUGGGCGUAAAGGGCUCGCAGGCGGUUUCUUAAGUCUGAUGUGAAAGCCCCCGGCUCAACCGGGGAGGGUCAUUGGAAACUGGGAAACUUGAGUGCAGAAGAGGAGAGUGGAAUUCCACGUGUAGCGGUGAAAUGCGUAGAGAUGUGGAGGAACACCAGUGGCGAAGGCGACUCUCUGGUCUGUAACUGACGCUGAGGAGCGAAAGCGUGGGGAGCGAACAGGAUUAGAUACCCUGGUAGUCCACGCCGUAAACGAUGAGUGCUAAGUGUUAGGGGGUUUCCGCCCCUUAGUGCUGCAGCUAACGCAUUAAGCACUCCGCCUGGGGAGUACGGUCGCAAGACUGAAACUCAAAGGAAUUGACGGGGGCCCGCACAAGCGGUGGAGCAUGUGGUUUAAUUCGAAGCAACGCGAAGAACCUUACCAGGUCUUGACAUCCUCUGACAACCCUAGAGAUAGGGCUUUCCCUUCGGGGACAGAGUGACAGGUGGUGCAUGGUUGUCGUCAGCUCGUGUCGUGAGAUGUUGGGUUAAGUCCCGCAACGAGCGCAACCCUUGAUCUUAGUUGCCAGCAUUCAGUUGGGCACUCUAAGGUGACUGCCGGUGACAAACCGGAGGAAGGUGGGGAUGACGUCAAAUCAUCAUGCCCCUUAUGACCUGGGCUACACACGUGCUACAAUGGACAGAACAAAGGGCUGCAAGACCGCAAGGUUUAGCCAAUCCCAUAAAUCUGUUCUCAGUUCGGAUCGCAGUCUGCAACUCGACUGCGUGAAGCUGGAAUCGCUAGUAAUCGCGGAUCAGCAUGCCGCGGUGAAUACGUUCCCGGGCCUUGUACACACCGCCCGUCACACCACGAGAGUUUGCAACACCCGAAGUCGGUGAGGUAACCUUUAUGGAGC
Molecule: ribosomal RNA, 1144 nt
Filed under: Bacillus safensis
Lineage: Bacteria; Bacillati; Bacillota; Bacilli; Caryophanales; Bacillaceae
Description: bacterial SSU rRNA
Rfam family: Bacterial small subunit ribosomal RNA
Source: RNAcentral